RNAcentral lists this transfer RNA (71 nucleotides) under Microcaldota archaeon. RNAcentral's name for it is "tRNA-Val". It matches the Rfam family "tRNA". Rfam says of the family: Transfer RNA (tRNA) molecules are approximately 80 nucleotides in length. Their secondary structure includes four short double-helical elements and three loops (D, anti-codon, and T loops). Further hydrogen bonds mediate the characteristic L-shaped molecular structure. tRNAs have two regions of fundamental functional importance: the anti-codon, which is responsible for specific mRNA codon recognition, and the 3' end, to which the tRNAs corresponding amino acid is attached (by aminoacyl-tRNA synthetases). tRNAs cope with the degeneracy of the genetic code in two manners: having more than one tRNA (with a specific anti-codon) for a particular amino acid; and 'wobble' base-pairing, i.e. permitting non-standard base-pairing at the 3rd anti-codon position. Lineage: Archaea; Nanobdellati; Microcaldota. RNAcentral also lists the same sequence under 2 other names. The record is from RNAcentral.
GGGCUUGUGGUCCAAUGGUACGACGUCAGCCUUACACGCUGAAGACCGGAGUUCGAUUCUCCGCGAGCCCA